UACGUAGGUGGCAAGCGUUGUCCGGAUUUACUGGGUGUAAAGGGCGUGUAGCCGGGAAGGCAAGUCAGAUGUGAAAUCUGGAGGCUCAACCUCCAAAUUGCAUUUGAAACUGUUUUUCUUGAGUACUGGAGAGGCAGACGGAAUUCCAUGUGUAGCGGUGAAAUGCGUAGAGAUAUGGAGGAACACCAGUGGCGAAGGCGGCUUCCUGGUCUGCAACUGACACUGAGGCGCGAAAGCGUGGGUAUCGAACAGG
This 253-nucleotide ribosomal RNA is filed under the name uncultured Oscillospiraceae bacterium. Its description in RNAcentral is "partial 16S ribosomal RNA". It matches the Rfam family "Bacterial small subunit ribosomal RNA", at positions 524 to 776 of the family's 1533-position model. The record is from RNAcentral. Lineage: Bacteria; Bacillati; Bacillota; Clostridia; Eubacteriales; Oscillospiraceae.